Molecule: long non-coding RNA, 432 nt
Filed under: Fukomys damarensis (Damara mole-rat)
Lineage: Eukaryota; Metazoa; Chordata; Mammalia; Rodentia; Bathyergidae
Description: lncRNA (ENSFDAG00000030611.1)
Source: RNAcentral
CCUCCAUCUGUAAAGGAGCAAAGUGUUUCCUGCUUUCCUGAUGGUAUUGUGCCCAGGUGGUCCUGCCUUCCCAGCUCAGUCUCUUCCCGCUGUACACUGCCAGCCAGCCUCAUGUGGCAGAGAGGUGGCCUCCCUGGCUGGGCAUCCUUUGGGCCGCACGGUGCUGGCCUGUGGCACUGAUGACUGAAAGGCCUACCAUGGUAUAACUUUCGCCCUCUCUUGCUUCAAAGACAACAGCCAAUGCUUGUGGAUGCUCAGCCUCCAGGUUGGUAUGCCCCAGCUGUGUGGAACCAUCCCUAUCACUGUCACAGGCAGAUCCCAGCCAGCUGUCACUCCUGCCUUUGUGCCUGAGCAACCUCCCAACACUUACCAGGGUCCCCACUAAGGCUGCACUGUCCUGGGCAUUGGCUGCUUAAUUCUUUUUACACCGAC